UACGUAGGGGGCAAGCGUUGUCCGGAAUCAUUGGGCGUAAAGCGCGUGUAGGCGGCCUUGUAAGUCCGUUCUGAAAGCCCGGGGCUCAACCCCGGGAGGCGGAUGGAUACUGCAAGGCUCGAGUCCGGAAGAGGCGAGUGGAAUUCCCGGUGUAGCGGUGAAAUGCGCAGAUAUCGGGAGGAACACCAGUAGCGAAGGCGGCUCGCUGGGCCAUUCCUGACGCUGAGACGCGAAAGCUAGGGGAGCGAACAGG
Molecule: ribosomal RNA, 253 nt
Filed under: uncultured bacterium
Lineage: Bacteria
Description: partial 16S ribosomal RNA
Rfam family: Bacterial small subunit ribosomal RNA
Source: RNAcentral